CAACAUCAAGUUCUCAAUAAAGCUGAAGCUGAGACAUAGAUGGGACACAAUGGCCAGAUCUGCAGCACAGAGCCAAGGAGAUGAGGAAAACUUUUGGACCUGAAACUAUGUACCAAGUCCAUGCAACAAUCUCAGGAUGGGUUAUUGAUCACCGGGGAGACCAGGUAAGGGUGGGAAUGAAUCACUGCCAUCUCUUUCCAUU
Long non-coding RNA from Pipistrellus kuhlii (Kuhl's pipistrelle), 202 nucleotides. RefSeq lists it as uncharacterized. NCBI's taxonomy places the organism in Eukaryota, Metazoa, Chordata, Mammalia, Chiroptera, Vespertilionidae. The record is from RefSeq and is a predicted model, not a curated record. The transcript has 2 exons.